GGGGCCUACGGGAGGCAGCAGUGGGGAAUAUUGCACAAUGGGCGCAAGCCUGAUGCAGCAACGCCGCGUGAGGGACGAAGGCCUUCGGGUUGUAAACCUCUUUUAGCAGGGAAGAAGCGAAAGUGACGGUACCUGCAGAAAAAGCACCGGCUAACUACGUGCCAGCAGCCGCGGUAAUACGUAGGGUGCAAGCGUUGUCCGGAAUUAUUGGGCGUAAAGAGCUCGUAGGCGGUUUGUCGCGUCUGCUGUGAAAAUCCGAGGCUCAACCUCGGACCUGCAGUGGGUACGGGCAAACUAGAGUGCGGUAGGGGAGAUUGGAAUUCCUGGUGUAGCGGUGGAAUGCGCAGAUAUCAGGAGGAACACCAAUGGCGAAGGCAGAUCUCUGGGCCGUAACUGACGCUGAGGAGCGAAAGCGUGGGGAGCGAACAGGAUUAGAUACCCUGGUAGUCCAUGCCGUAAACGGUGGGCACUAGGUGUGGGUUCCAACUAACGGGAUCCGCGCCGUCGCUAACGCAUUAAGUGCCCCGCCUGGGGAGUACGGUCGCAAGGCUAAAACUCAAAGGAAUUGACGGGG
This 574-nucleotide ribosomal RNA is filed under the name uncultured Microbacteriaceae bacterium. Its description in RNAcentral is "bacterial SSU rRNA". It matches the Rfam family "Bacterial small subunit ribosomal RNA", at positions 334 to 918 of the family's 1533-position model. The record is from RNAcentral. Lineage: Bacteria; Bacillati; Actinomycetota; Actinomycetes; Micrococcales; Microbacteriaceae.